Odocoileus virginianus texanus is the source of this 394-nucleotide non-coding RNA. NCBI's taxonomy places the organism in Eukaryota, Metazoa, Chordata, Mammalia, Artiodactyla, Cervidae. The record is from RefSeq and is a predicted model, not a curated record.
GAUAAUGGAAAGCACAUUGGUUCUAACAGAAAGAAUUAAUCUGAAAAGAACGGAAGGUACAGAGACUCAGUUAACUCCAGCUGUGCCAAACCACGUGGGACGGAACCAGCGUUAACUGUCACCUUCGCUUAGGUUUACGCAAUGUCCCUCGCUGCUAGCACAAUUCCUUGAGCUCUGACCAGCCAGAGAAAGAUGGUCUCCUGGAAAAGCAGUCCUGGAGGGAUGUUGAGCUUGAUAUAGUCCAGAGUUUCAGACACAACCAGACGAAGGAGCACCAGGCAGCGGGCCAGGCUGGCUGGCAGUCCUCAGGGGCGGAUACUGCAGUCCAUCCUCUGCAAAGAUCCAGAGCCAUCCCCUCAAAUUAGUAUUCAGCCCUGAGGAAAGAAUCAACACU